RNAcentral lists this long non-coding RNA (927 nucleotides) under Gallus gallus (chicken). Its description in RNAcentral is "lncRNA (ENSGALG00010030061.1)". Lineage: Eukaryota; Metazoa; Chordata; Aves; Galliformes; Phasianidae. The record is from RNAcentral.
CAUCCCAUCCUGACCUCAGAACUUCUAGUGAUGGAAAAAUCUGCUGUAACUUUUGUAAGUCCUUCCAAAGAUGAAUGAGGGUCAUGUUGUGGUUUAACCCGGCAGGAGGCUGAGCGCCACACAGUCCUUUGUUUGCUCCCCUCCUUCCCAGGGGGAUGGGGGAGAGAAUUGGAAAAAACUCCUUCCACGUGGUGUCAUGUGGUAUGGAAUAUACCUUUAGCCAGUUGAAGUCAGCUGUCCUAAUUCUGCUCCCUCCCAGCUUCUUGGAACCUUCACUGCAAACGGCCUUGGCUCUGCACAGCACUGCUUUGCAGCACUGUAAACAUCAGUGUGUUAUCAACAUUGUUUUUCUCCCAGGACCAAAACAGAGCAGCAUACCAGACACUCUGAAUAAACAAUUCCGUCCCAGCUGAAGCAAAGACAGGUCACUGCUAGGGGGAAAAAAGAAUUCACCUUGCUUUCAAUCUGCGUUUGUUUAACUUCAGCUUUCAGACCACCUGAAGGGAGCAGCUCUAAAUGCUUCAGGGCGUGUGGUUGAAUAGACUCCUCAACUACCAAGAUGGAGAAGCUGAAGUGGAUCACACUGGUCAGCAAAUGUGACCAGAAGGAAUCUGACACAACCAACCCUUCCUUUGCAAUCAACGUGGGAUCCAAAACAAACCUUCGGCGCUCUCGGCAUCGCUGCCCAGGGAACCAGGCAUCCUGCAAAUAAACACUGAAUUGCAAAUCUGCGGUGGAGAUUUAACUUGAGACCAAAUCUCUGACAGUUACAAAAACUUGAGAUGCAAACAGGAGCUGCGAAGGGAUAUCUGCUGAGUGAUGGGAACUCAGAGUAAAACAGGACAUUAAUUGUAAGAAAUGUGAUGUCCUAAUUUCUCCCCAGCUCCCCAAAUAGAUUGGGAGUGGAAAUAAAUGCUUCCAAGUAGG